Molecule: long non-coding RNA, 1075 nt
Organism: Gallus gallus (chicken)
Lineage: Eukaryota; Metazoa; Chordata; Aves; Galliformes; Phasianidae
Source: Ensembl
ACAUCUUGAUUUGUAGGGAUGACUCCUGGCAAAGGAGUUAGGGCCAAAACCUUCUCUGAGGUUGGAAAAGGUCAGAGCGGGCAGGGCCAGCAGCAGAAUGGCAUCACUGCUCUGGGUCUCUCUGUACUCCAGUGGCAGCAGCAGAGAAAGGGCAAAACCGGGUAUGGAAGAAACGGAUGACAAGGCACAGAGCUUCUCACCCUGCAGCCUGUGACAUCCUCCCCCGCGUGCAGUCUUUUCCAGCCAUGUGUGAGUUAUUUGCUAUCCCGUGCCAAAACUGUGUUCCUACAGAGAUCGUUGAGGUAACAGUCACAUAACUGAGUACCUGGUUGUGUCCACUUAAAUCAGCUCCCGGAGCAGAACCAUCUACCUUAGGAAAAGAGGCAGCAGUAGAGCCCCUACCAGUAGGAGAAAUUAAUGCAUUACACUUCGACAGAGAUUAAUUAUUAUGAGUCAGUCUAAAAAUACGUUUGUCCCCUGUGGGAGUACGCGCUCUUCUAUUCAUCAAGUCGCUUUCAAAUAAUCAUUAAACAUCUUAAGGCAGAAGACAGUUUUGCUCGUGCAAAAGAAACACUGCUAAAAGUUACACGACAAAGACCAUCUUUUUCAAUUUUCAAUUUUAAAUCAUAAAAGCAUCUGCAGCAUUCUGACCCAGAGUAGUUCCCCACAAGUGAGACAGACAAAAUGUCUGCUGGGAAAAAUGUGCAGAGGACUCUGAUAACUGCAGCAUAUUUUUUUUCAGUUGCCAAUCAGGGUUGAUGUUUCCAAAUAACUUUUAUUGAAUUAAAUUUAUAUAAGGUCUUCCAGUCUCAGCUGUAGCCUCGGUGGCAUCUCAAAUGGAGAUGGAUCAGAUUUAAAGGCCAAAAGUCACUUUUGUGGUGUUUUGGGGAAAAGUGCAUGAGUAGAAUGAUGGAUUUUUUUUUUUGGUUUGGUGGGACAAGGUCUUGCAGGUAUAAACUGAUAUAUUAACAGAGGUGCUUGGCACCCCUGAACCACUGGUUUCUGGCACUUGAUUUUCCAGGUGUGUCUGGGCGGUCCCUGCAGACUCAUCCUGGUGGCAAUGCUCUGGUAGAAG